RNAcentral lists this ribosomal RNA (253 nucleotides) under uncultured bacterium. Its description in RNAcentral is "partial 16S ribosomal RNA". It matches the Rfam family "Bacterial small subunit ribosomal RNA", at positions 524 to 776 of the family's 1533-position model. The record is from RNAcentral.
UACGAAGGGUGCUAGCGUUGUUCGGAAUCACUGGGCGUGAAGCGCACGUAGGCGGAUUGUUAAGUCGGGGGUGAAAUCCUGAGGCUCAACCUCAGAACUGCCUUCGAUACUGGCGAUCUUGAGUCCGGAAGAGGUUGGUGGAACAGCUAGUGUAGAGGUGAAAUUCGUAGAUAUUAGCUAGAACACCAGUGGCGAAGGCGGCCAACUGGUCCGGAACUGACGCUGAGGUGCGAAAGCGUGGGGAGCAAACAGG